GCCUCUUUCCUGCUUCUCAGAGAAUUUUUAGUUGUUUUAUGAAAGGUUCAGCAACUUUUUCAAGAAGACCAAGGUGUUCCUCCACUCAAAUAAUAACAAUUAAGAACACUUGGCUGUGGAGAGUAGGAAGUGUGGGUUAAAGUAUCUCCAGGGCAAAGAGUUGACAGCAGAUCUGCAGUUGUGAAAAGGAAAGGUUCUGUUGGCUUGGGAACGUGAACUUGUUACAGGAGGUACCAGACAGCCCACACACGGCAGCCACCUGGGAAUCAGAAGGUGAAAGCAGGUUCAUCUGGUGUCCCUUGAAAAUGCCACGUCAAUGUGGCAUUGGCUUGAGGAGGUGGAAAGUAGGAGCUCACUCAGGUCAAAAGCUGGGUCAAAGGGUUACCUUGGUUUUAUAUGAGCUUGCUAAGCCUUGAAAAGCAAAUUGCAGGUCUAGUGGGUAAGAGCAUCUCAGUGCCUGCAAUAUACUCCAU
Molecule: long non-coding RNA, 473 nt
Filed under: Anser brachyrhynchus (Pink-footed goose)
Lineage: Eukaryota; Metazoa; Chordata; Aves; Anseriformes; Anatidae
Description: lncRNA (ENSABRG00000009233.1)
Source: RNAcentral